Molecule: ribosomal RNA, 253 nt
Filed under: uncultured bacterium
Lineage: Bacteria
Description: partial 16S ribosomal RNA
Rfam family: Bacterial small subunit ribosomal RNA
Source: RNAcentral
UACAGAGGUCUCAAGCGUUGUUCGGAUUCAUUGGGCGUAAAGGGUGCGUGGGUGGUGACGCAAGUCUGGUGUGAAAUCUCGGAGCUCAACUCCGAAAUUGCACCGGAUACUGCGUGACUCGAGGACUGUAGAGGAGAUCGGAAUUCACGGUGUAGCAGUGAAAUGCGUAGAUAUCGUGAGGAAGACCAGUUGCGAAGGCGGAUCUCUGGGCAGUUCCUGACACUGAGGCACGAAGGCCAGGGGAGCAAACGGG